RNAcentral lists this long non-coding RNA (693 nucleotides) under Homo sapiens (human). RNAcentral's name for it is "HSALNT0294899". The record is from RNAcentral. Lineage: Eukaryota; Metazoa; Chordata; Mammalia; Primates; Hominidae.
AAAAAAAAUUGGUUAGAAAAAACAACAUGACUUUGGUGGCAGAAAUUAUUCAUCAGGUACUUUUUGUGCUAAGCUGACAAACUGCUGACACAAAAUACAGGAAGUAAGAACAUGUUUGACCAUGUGGAGCUUACUCUUUAAUAGAAAACUGGGACCUGCAUAAAUCCAAGAAAUGGACCCGACAUUCAUGGAGCACCAACCAUCUGCCAGGGAGAGCUGAUGUAUCCUGGGCUUGAGAACAGUAGAAGAAAGUAGUCAGGAAUGGAGCUAGUGGUGGAGGGAAGUGAGGGUAGAGAAAGGGGAGACUGCAGCUCAGAAGAAAUCAAAGUACAGUUGACCCUUGAACAACAUGGGUUUGAGCUGUGUGGGUCCACUUACAUGUGGAUUUUCUUCCGCCUCUGCCAUCCCUGAGAUAGCAAGACCAACCCCUCCUCCCACUUAGCCUGCUUUAACGUGAAGAUAAUGAGGAUGAAGACCUUUGAUGAUCCACUUUCACUUACAUCUUCACCAGGAGUAUAGAUGCCAUCUGAAGAAACCACUUUCUUUGCUCAUCCAUAAGAAGCAACUCCUCAUUGGCUCAAUUUUCAUCAUGAGAUUGUGGCAACUGAGUGACAUAUUCAGGCUCCACUUCUAUUUUUCUUGCUAUUUCCACCCUUCAAAGUCAUCCAUGAGGAUCGGAAUCAAAUUCUUCCA